UCCUGAAUAUGCAUUACAACAAAGCAUUUUGUGAAAUUAUUGAUUGAUCUCCAUGAACAACAAACAUCAGAUCAACCUUCGUUAAACAUGAAAAAUUAUUAUCCAUCAAACUUCCCUUAGCUGUUCUCCUUAACUAAAGAAAGGAUGUGUUUUGCAAUCUCUGCAGAAGCAUCAGGUUUUGCAGCAUUCAGAGCCCUCUGGGACAUCUCUGCUAGUAAUCUCUCAUCCAC
Molecule: long non-coding RNA, 230 nt
Filed under: Gossypium barbadense (sea-island cotton)
Lineage: Eukaryota; Viridiplantae; Streptophyta; Magnoliopsida; Malvales; Malvaceae
Description: long non-coding RNA (GBAR_LNC005954)
Source: RNAcentral